GCGCCCAUAGCUCAGUGGAUAGAGCAAGCGACUUCUAAUCGCUAGGCCGCAGGUUCGAUCCCUGCUGGGCGCGCCU
This 76-nucleotide transfer RNA is filed under the name Ktedonobacter sp. RNAcentral's name for it is "tRNA-Arg". It matches the Rfam family "tRNA". From Rfam's summary of the family: Transfer RNA (tRNA) molecules are approximately 80 nucleotides in length. Their secondary structure includes four short double-helical elements and three loops (D, anti-codon, and T loops). The record is from RNAcentral. Lineage: Bacteria; Bacillati; Chloroflexota; Ktedonobacteria; Ktedonobacterales; Ktedonobacteraceae.